UGCCGCGUGUGUGAAGAAGGCUUUCGGGUUGUAAAGCACUUUCAGCGAGGAAGAAGGCCUGACGGUUAAUACCUGUCAGGAAGGACAUCACUCGCAGAAGAAGCACCGGCUAACUCCGUGCCAGCAGCCGCGGUAAUACGGAGGGUGCAAGCGUUAAUCGGAAUUACUGGGCGUAAAGCGCGCGUAGGUGGCUUGAUAAGCCGGUUGUGAAAGCCCCGGGCUCAACCUGGGAACUGCAUCCGGAACUGUCAGGCUAGAGUGCAGGAGAGGAAGGUAGAAUUCCCGGUGUAGCGGUGAAAUGCGUAGAGAUCGGGAGGAAUACCAGUGGCGAAGGCGGCCUUCUGGACUGACACUGACACUGAGGUGCGAAAGCGUGGGUAGCAAACAGGAUUAGAUACCCUGGUAGUCCACGCCGUAAACGAUGUCGACUAGCCGUUGGGAGCCUCGAGUUCUUAGUGGCGCAGUUAACGCAAUAAGUCGACCGCCUGGGGAGUACGGCCGCAAGGUUAAAACUCA
Molecule: ribosomal RNA, 516 nt
Filed under: Halomonas sp.
Lineage: Bacteria; Pseudomonadati; Pseudomonadota; Gammaproteobacteria; Oceanospirillales; Halomonadaceae
Description: bacterial SSU rRNA
Rfam family: Bacterial small subunit ribosomal RNA
Source: RNAcentral